UAUACCGUGAAACUGCGAAUGGCUCAUUAAAUCAGUUAUCGUUUAUUUGAUAGUACCUUACUACUUGGAUAACCGUGGUAAUUCUAGAGCUAAUACAUGCUGAAAACCCCAACUUCGGGAGGGGUGUAUUUAUUAGAUAAAAAACCAACGCCCUUCGGGGCUUCUUGGUGAUUCAUGAUAACUUUACGGAUCGCAUGGCCUUGCGCUGGCGACGGUUCAUUCAAAUUUCUGCCCUAUCAACUUUCGAUGGUAAGGUAUUGGCUUACCAUGGUUUCAACGGGUAACGGGGAAUUAGGGUUCGAUUCCGGAGAGGGAGCCUGAGAAACGGCUACCACAUCCAAGGAAGGCAGCAGGCGCGCAAAUUACCCAAUCCCGACACGGGGAGGUAGUGACAAUAAAUACUGAUACAGGGCUCUUUUGGGUCUUGUAAUUGGAAUGAGUACAAUUUAAACCUCUUAACGAGGAACAAUUGGAGGGCAAGUCUGGUGCCAGCAGCCGCGGUAAUUCCAGCUCCAAUAGCGUAUAUUAAAGUUGUUGCAGUUAAAAAGCUCGUAGUUGAAACUUGGGUCUGGCUGGCGGGUCCGCCUCACCGCGUGUACUUGUCCGGCCGGGCCUUCCUUCUGGAGAACCUCAUGCCCUUUACUGGGCGUGUUGGGGACCAGGACUUUUACUUUGAAAAAAUUAGAGUGUUCAAAGCAGGCCUUUGCUCGAAUACGUUAGCAUGGAAUAAUAGAAUAGGACGUGCGGUCCUAUUUUGUUGGUUUCUAGGACCGCCGUAAUGAUUAAUAGGGACAGUCGGGGGCAUCAGUAUUCAAUUGUCAGAGGUGAAAUUCUUGGAUUUAUUGAAGACUAACUACUGCGAAAGCAUUUGCCAAGGAUGUUUUCAUUAAUCAGUGAACGAAAGUUAGGGGAUCGAAGACGAUCAGAUACCGUCGUAGUCUUAACCGUAAACUAUGCCGACUAGGGAUCGGGCGAUGUUCUUUUUCUGACUCGCUCGGCACCUUACGAGAAAUCAAAGUU
Molecule: ribosomal RNA, 1020 nt
Filed under: Leptosphaeria doliolum
Lineage: Eukaryota; Fungi; Ascomycota; Dothideomycetes; Pleosporales; Leptosphaeriaceae
Also listed under: 1 other name
Description: SSU rRNA
Rfam family: Eukaryotic small subunit ribosomal RNA
Source: RNAcentral